UCCUAUAACGGUAAUGUGGGAAGUUUAAAAAUCUUAGUGUUUUUGCAGAUUUGGUAACAAGAAGAGGUUUAACAUACAUAGUAUGGAGGUUCGAGUCAUGUGGAAUAUCAGAACCGCACUCAACCUGGCAUUCCUAGAUCUGAAUAUUGAAGGAGAAUGGCAUCUCUUUUGUAAGACUAUAGAAAGAGCUAAACAUGUUAUGAUAUGCUCUCCAAUCCUCUGGACCAGACCUAGUAGGGGUUGGGUCAAACGUAAUACGGAUGGAAGCUAUGUGGAGCAGGACAGAGGAGCAGAAACCGGAGCCGUUCUAAGAGAUGAGAAUAGAGAUUUUAUUAUGGUGUUUUCUUAUUUUGCAGACAACGAAGAACAAUAAUCAAGCAGAGGCAUUAGUUGUUAAAGCUGGAGUAAGGUGGUGCAUCCAAAAUGACAUAGAUAAAAUCAAACUAGAAAUUGACUCACAGAUCAUCACUACCAUGUUGAAUGAAAGAGGAACGGACAAUCUAAAACUCAAAAACAUCAUCAACAGGAUCUCCAGGACGGUCAAUAUGGUCAUAAUCCAAAUCUCUCUUUUGUUACAGGGAGGCAAACAAAAUGGCUGAUUUUCUUGUCAAAAUGGCUUCUAGCAGUAGGAAGAGGACCUUAUAUACUUCUUACCAUGGAUUACCCAGAGAAUUUAAGGCCCUAAUACAACUGGAUAAGCAAUAGACCCUUCCUUUAGAAGGAAAUAUGAAAAGUGUAAUAUUUGAGUUUUGUUGUUCUUUUAGCUUUGAAAUUAGCGAAAUAAUAGAGAAAGAGUUGGAGAGGAAAAAUAUUGCAAUUGUAUUGUCAAAGAGCAUUAUUUUAUUAAUAACUCAAAAUAUAUAUUUAUGGCUAAAUUUCUAAUUAUACUUCAAUUUAAAUUGGGAUAACUAAUUCUUAUUCAAAUAACAAAAGGAUAACUAAUUCCUAAGUCAUAAGACUCUAAUAAUUUAAAACUACUAAAAUUAUCUACUCCUAUUUUAUUUCUGAGACAUAUCUUCAACACUCCUCCUUGGAUCAAAAAUUGUCUCGGUUUCAACUGAAUUUGACCUCUUGAAUAAAUCUGCCAAUUCAUCUUUGUUCAUGCAUGGCUUAUGUGCAUCUCCUGUUGGAUUAAAUAAGAAACUUUUACCUCUCAUAUCAACUUGUAAAAUUUUAUGAUUAGUGGAAUCAAAAAUUCGAUAAUAUUUGUCUCCAAAUAAUAGUUUAAAUCCUUCCUCCACUAGUUGCUUCCAUUCUUUGACGUUGUAGGCAGCUUGAAAGUUUGAAGGUUCCAGGACAACAAGAUUACUUUUUUCAUAAAUUUCAGCCAAUGGUCUAGUGCCUCUAACAGCAAAAUGUUCAUCUUUCUCUGUUUCCAAGUCUUCACGUGAAUCUUGAGAAGUAGGUUCAACAACCAUCUUUCUGACUUGAGAGAUAUUCCAAUCCCAAUAAGCAUUCCAUCUUUAGUUCAUCUCUCAAUUAGCGUCGCAAAUGUUGAUAGAUUGUUUAUACUCCAAUAAGAAAGCUUGGUACCAAUUGUGGCUUGAGGUCGGAAUAGAUCCUUGUUUGAAACGACUCAAAGAAAAUAUGUACGGGUUUGAUUCAAGAACUAACAACGAAUUCAAAAGAUAAAAUCUUGAAAGAAAAGUAGGACGAUGAAAGAAAAAGGCUCAAGAACUAUCAAUCAACUUAGUAGAUAAGUUACUAGUUGAUGAGUAGUUAAGAAUCAAAGAAGAGAUUUAAGAAUCAAGAAAUGGAAAAUAAGAAUCAAACCUUGAGAAAUGGAGUUUUAAAUGUGUUGAGAUGUGUUUUAAGACUUGAAUUGAUGUUGGAAAGUGUUGAUAAACUUGGAUUGGUGUUGUUGAAGUUGAUUCACGUCAAAAGGAGGUGAUUUGCAUUGAGUAUGACUGAUCUGCGUUGCCAGCCUGCUCCAGCAGUUGGACCACAGGUGCAAGGCACCUUGGAUGCAGGUUGGGGCCUUGGAUACUUCCUUGAGGUGCGGCCACAGGUCAAGGGCAGACCAGGCGCACCAUGGGAGCAGAUGCAAGGCAGAUUGGCCGCCUUUCCCUUUGUGUUUGGCCAAAAUUGCCCUCCAAAUGGUCCUCUCUUUGUGCUCUCUUGCGGAAUUUUCUUUUAUGCUUUUGUACAAACACUUUUUCCACACUUUUCUUCCUUCUUUUUGAAUCAAACACCACCUUUUACUAAGAAUUCAAGAUGAAGAUAUGAAUCUUCCUCAAGUACACUUAAGGAUACCAAAACUUCAAAAUGCUCUAACUCUUGAACCAAUGAUCGGAAUGCGAUGAAAUUUUGACCCGAAGCUCUUUUCAACCUUAUAUACACAUUUCAAACAUCAUUUUGUUCAAAUUCACAACCAAAAAUUUUAGAUUUUCAAUUUACAUCAAACUUCUUCAACCCAAGCUUCCAACAAGGACAGAACACUCAAAUGGACUCCGAUUAAGCUCAAAUUUGAACCCUAGACUCCUAUAGUGCUAGAGAACACAAAUCUAACACUAGAAGCACAAGAAAAACAAAAAAUCAAAAACUAAAAUUUUGACCUAGGACUAAAAUCGUGAAUAUACUUUUUUGGGAAUUUUUGAUUUUUGACUCUUUUUUGUUGAUUUUCGAGAUUGCAAAAUCCAAAACUAGAAUCGUGGAAACGAUUCUAAGCUCGGCUCUUGAUACCAAAUGAUACACGAACAAAGUACAAAAUCAAAAACUAAACUAUGAUACGAAUACGAAAGCUAAAGAUAUCUAGAGAAGCAAUAAGAUAGACACAAUGCAAGGAAUUGAAAGCAAAUAAAGGGUAUAUCAAUCCCUAAACCCUCAAUCAAUUAAACCGAAUAAAGCACCUAAAUCUUACGUAAACCUCAAGGGAAUCGAUUCUCAAUUAACCCACGUUUCUAAACAAAAGAUCAACACAAGCGAAUCCAUGCUUACCUCACACUCUCACAAGUGUUCAAAUUCAUAAUUCAACAUAAAAUACUUACUAAAAUGAAAAGAAUUCUUAUUUAUAGUCUAUGCUAGAUUAUUACAUCAUAUAGGCCCAAAAGUGACCCAUUUAGGAAAGGCAAACAUAUAAAAGCCCAUUAGGCACUUGCUUGAGCAUAUGGGGCACAUCCCAAUGGUGUAGUGGGCUGUUUUGACCCGCUCUAGCGGAUCUAGAGCGGGUUGGGUGCACCUCCAAAGUGGAUGGGUGCAUCUCCUCUUCCGGGGGGGCUUUCUAGCCCCGUUUGGUCUUCCAUCGGCCUCUCUAACAUACCUUGAGUCUCCUUGGUCAUCAUAAUCAUCCAAUGGAUACCUUUUAAUAUCCCUCAAGAAGUCAUCAAAUGUCACUUGACUCGUAAGAAUUCUCUCUAGCAAUCCAGAGGCCAUUUGGAUUGUAUCAGUAUAGCAAUAAAGCUGCAUAGUCUAUUGUUAUAACUCACGGACAGAAAAAUCCAUUUGUAGGCUACAUUUGGCAUUGCGCUAUUCCAUUUAAAGUAUCCUUUUUGGAGACUUCUCUGCAACAAACUGCCUUUCAAAGAUGCAAUUACCAAGUUUGGGAAGCAGGGAUUCACCACUUGUAUUUGCAGCACCAUCCCAUCGAAUGAGAACCCACAACAUGUUUUUGUUGAAGGCAAUGUUGCAUAUUAGAUCUAAAAAAAGGUUGAAAAAAUUCUUCUCCAGAUCUCUCCUAUAACGGUAAUGUGGGAAGUUUAAAAAUCUUAGUGUUUUUGCAGAUUUGGUAACAAGAAGAGGUUUAACAUACAUAGUAUGGAGGUUCGAGUCAUGUGGAAUAUCAGAACCGCACUCAACCUGGCAUUCCUAGAUCUGAAUAUUGAAGGAGAAUGGCAUCUCUUUUGUAAGACUAUAGAAAGAGCUAAACAUGUUAUGAUAUGCUCUCCAAUCCUCUGGACCAGACCUAGUAGGGGUUGGGUCAAACGUAAUACGGAUGGAAGCUAUGUGGAGCAGGACAGAGGAGCAGAAACCGGAGCCGUUCUAAGAGAUGAGAAUAGAGAUUUUAUUAUGGUGUUUUCUUAUUUUGCAGACAACGAAGAACAAUAAUCAAGCAGAGGCAUUAGUUGUUAAAGCUGGAGUAAGGUGGUGCAUCCAAAAUGACAUAGAUAAAAUCAAACUAGAAAUUGACUCACAGAUCAUCACUACCAUGUUGAAUGAAAGAGGAACGGACAAUCUAAAACUCAAAAACAUCAUCAACAGGAUCUCCAGGACGGUCAAUAUGGUCAUAAUCCAAAUCUCUCUUUUGUUACAGGGAGGCAAACAAAAUGGCUGAUUUUCUUGUCAAAAUGGCUUCUAGCAGUAGGAAGAGGACCUUAUAUACUUCUUACCAUGGAUUACCCAGAGAAUUUAAGGCCCUAAUACAACUGGAUAAGCAAUAGACCCUUCCUUUAGAAGGAAAUAUGAAAAGUGUAAUAUUUGAGUUUUGUUGUUCUUUUAGCUUUGAAAUUAGCGAAAUAAUAGAGAAAGAGUUGGAGAGGAAAAAUAUUGCAAUUGUAUUGUCAAAGAGCAU
RNAcentral lists this long non-coding RNA (4507 nucleotides) under Capsicum annuum. RNAcentral's name for it is "long non-coding RNA (CANN_LNC005492)". The record is from RNAcentral. Lineage: Eukaryota; Viridiplantae; Streptophyta; Magnoliopsida; Solanales; Solanaceae.